RNAcentral lists this ribosomal RNA (1165 nucleotides) under Alcanivorax sp. RNAcentral's name for it is "bacterial SSU rRNA". It matches the Rfam family "Bacterial small subunit ribosomal RNA", at positions 99 to 1213 of the family's 1533-position model. Lineage: Bacteria; Pseudomonadati; Pseudomonadota; Gammaproteobacteria; Oceanospirillales; Alcanivoracaceae. The record is from RNAcentral.
CGGACGGGUGAGUAACGCGUGAGAAUCUGCCCAUCAGUGGGGGAUAACCCGGGGAAACUCGGGCUAAUACCGCAUACGUCCUACGGGACAAAGCAGGGGACCUUUUGGCCUUGCGCUGAUGGAUGAGCUCGCGUCGGAUUAGCUUGUUGGUGAGGUAAAGGCUCACCAAGGCGACGAUCCGUAGCUGGUCUGAGAGGAUGAUCAGCCACACCGGGACUGAGACACGGCCCGGACUCCUACGGGAGGCAGCAGUGGGGAAUCUUGGACAAUGGGGGCAACCCUGAUCCAGCCAUGCCGCGUGUGUGAAGAAGGCCUUCGGGUUGUAAAGCACUUUCAGUAGGGAGGAAGGCUUCGGGUUAAUACCCUGGAGUACUUGACGUUACCUACAGAAGAAGCACCGGCUAAUUUCGUGCCAGCAGCCGCGGUAAUACGAAAGGUGCAAGCGUUAAUCGGAAUUACUGGGCGUAAAGCGCGCGUAGGCGGUGUGUUAAGUCGGAUGUGAAAGCCCAGGGCUCAACCUUGGAAUUGCAUCCGAUACUGGCACGCUAGAGUGCAGUAGAGGGAGGUGGAAUUUCCGGUGUAGCGGUGAAAUGCGUAGAGAUCGGAAGGAACACCAGUGGCGAAGGCGGCCUCCUGGACUGACACUGACGCUGAGGUGCGAAAGCGUGGGGAGCAAACAGGAUUAGAUACCCUGGUAGUCCACGCCGUAAACGAUGUCUACUAGCCGUCGGGAUCCUUAGUGAUCUUGGUGGCGCAGCUAACGCGAUAAGUAGACCGCCUGGGGAGUACGGCCGCAAGGUUAAAACUCAAAUGAAUUGACGGGGGCCCGCACAAGCGGUGGAGCAUGUGGUUUAAUUCGAUGCCACCGCGAAAGAACCUUACCAGGUCUUGACAUCCCUCGAAAUUUGGCCAAAAAUGCCUUUAGUGCCUUCCGGAAGCCCAAGUGAACAGGUGCUUGCAUGGGCCGUCCUCCAGCUCCGUGUCCUGGAGAUGUUUGGGUUUAAGUCCCCGUAACCGAGCGGCAACCCCUUGUUCCUUUAGUUGGCCAAGCCACGUAAUGGGUGGGGAAACUCCUAUGGGAAAACUGGCCGGUUGAACAAACCCGGGAGGAAAGGUGGGGGAACAAACGUCCGGGUUCAACCAUGGGCCCCUUAACGAACCUGGG